Molecule: unclassified non-coding RNA, 328 nt
Filed under: soil metagenome
Description: partial contains 5.8S ribosomal RNA, internal transcribed spacer 2, and large subunit ribosomal RNA
Rfam family: 5.8S ribosomal RNA (bases 1-120)
Source: RNAcentral
GAUGAAGAACGUAGCGAAAUGCGAUAAGUAGUGUGAAUUGCAGAAUUCAGUGAAUCAUCGAAUCUUUGAACGCACAUUGCGCCCCUUGGUAUCCCGAGGGGCAUGCCUGUUCGAGCGUCAUUUCACCACUUAAGCCUGGCUUGGUGUUGGGCGACGUCCCCUUUGGGGACGCGCCUCGAAACGCUCGGCGGCGUGGCACCGGCUUUAAGCGUAGCAGAAUCUUUCGCUUUGGAAGUCGGGGCCCCGUCUGCCGGAAGACCUACUCGCAAGGUUGACCUCGGAUCAGGCAGGGAUACCCGCUGAACUUAAGCAUAUCAAUAAGCGAGGA